AUUGAACGCUGGCGGCAUGCCUAACACAUGCAAGUCGAACGGUAACGCGGGGGGCAACCCCUGGCGACGAGUGGCGGACGGGUGAGUAAUACAUCGGAACGUGCCCAGUAGUGGGGGAUAGCCCGGCGAAAGCCGGAUUAAUACCGCAUACGACCUACGGGUGAAAGCGGGGGAUCGCAAGACCUCGCGCUAUUGGAGCGGCCGAUGUCAGAUUAGCUAGUUGGUGGGGUAAAAGCCUACCAAGGCGACGAUCUGUAGCUGGUCUGAGAGGACGACCAGCCACACUGGGACUGAGACACGGCCCCAGACUCCUACGGGAGGCAGCAGUGGGAAUUUUGGACAAUGGGGGCAACCCUGAUCCAGCCAUGCCGCGUGCGGGAAGAAAGGGCCCUUCGGGUUCG
Molecule: ribosomal RNA, 401 nt
Filed under: uncultured bacterium
Lineage: Bacteria
Description: bacterial SSU rRNA
Rfam family: Bacterial small subunit ribosomal RNA
Source: RNAcentral